Molecule: unclassified non-coding RNA, 469 nt
Filed under: Hevea brasiliensis (rubber tree)
Lineage: Eukaryota; Viridiplantae; Streptophyta; Magnoliopsida; Malpighiales; Euphorbiaceae
Source: RNAcentral
UUUGCUGUAUUGAGUUUGAUUGGCCGGUGGGAUGCUGGAAGCACACUAGCAGGUCUUUUUCGCCCAUUGGAAACGGCAGCAGCAGUGUCUUUGCAGCUAGCUUCGUCGUUCACAUUCCGCUUCACUCGUUUGCGGGCAAAGAACUCACCUUCUUCGUCGCUGGAGGAGUCGGUAGCGUCUGGGUCUGUGACUGAUAUCCGUACAAGUCUUGGUGGGUUGUGCUCUAAUCUACUCCUUUCAUCAGAGACCUUUUUGGACUUUAAGGAGGGUUUUGUGAAUUUCUUAGUAACUAUUCUGUGUUCUGUAUAUUUCAUAGGACAUAGGAUACUGUGGUCCAUCAUCUCCUCUUGUGGAAGUGUUUUCUUAACUUCCCUGAUUCUUUAUUCUCAUCAAAAGAAAGAGAAAAAAAGAUAACACAGAAAAGAAAAAGGCAAAGAGCCGUGAAGAAGAAGAAGAAGACGAAUAAGAC